AAUUGUCACCAAGCUACCUUGAGAAUGCCCAUUUUUCCCAUGUCUGGCCUCAGAAGCUAAGCAGGGUCAGGCCUGUUUGCACUUGGAUGGGAGACCACUGGUAAUGUCCGGUGCCCUUU
RNAcentral lists this ribosomal RNA (119 nucleotides) under Periophthalmus magnuspinnatus. The record is from RNAcentral. Lineage: Eukaryota; Metazoa; Chordata; Actinopteri; Gobiiformes; Gobiidae.